UUGACCUCGGAUCAGGUAGGAAUACCCGCUGAACUUACAACAGGGAUUGCCUUAGUAACGGCGAGUGAAGCGGCAACAGCUCAAAUUUGAAAUCUGGCCCUCGGGUCCGAAUUGUAAUUUGUAGAGGAUGAUUUUGGUGCGGUAUCUUCCGAGUUCCUUGGAACAGGACGCCUUAGAGGGUGAGAGCCCCGUACGGUUGAAUGCCUAGCCUCUGUAAAUCUCCUUCGACGAGUCGAGUAGUUUGGGAAUGCUGCUCUAAAUGGGAGGUAAAUUUCUUCUAAAGCUAAAUAUUGGCCAGAGACCGAUAGCGCACAAGUAGAGUGAUCGAAAGAUGAAAAGCACUUUGAAAAGAGGGUUAAAUAGCACGUGAAAUUGUUGAAAGGGAAGGAUUUGUGACCAGACUUUUUCUGGGCGGAUCAUCCGGGGUUCUCUCCGGUGCACUUUGCCCAGUAAAGGCCAGCAUCGAUUUUCGGCGGCGGAUAAAAGCAGUGGGAAUGUGGCUCCCUACGGGGAGUGUUAUAGCCCAUUGUAUAAUACGCUGCUGGGGAUCGAGGUACGCGCUUCUGCAAGGAUGCUGGCGUAAUGGUUAUCAAUCA
RNAcentral lists this ribosomal RNA (596 nucleotides) under Pestalotiopsis sp. SGLAf35. RNAcentral's name for it is "eukaryotic LSU rRNA". It matches the Rfam family "Eukaryotic large subunit ribosomal RNA", at positions 1 to 647 of the family's 3401-position model. The record is from RNAcentral. Lineage: Eukaryota; Fungi; Ascomycota; Sordariomycetes; Amphisphaeriales; Sporocadaceae.